Molecule: long non-coding RNA, 2058 nt
Filed under: Macaca fascicularis (crab-eating macaque)
Lineage: Eukaryota; Metazoa; Chordata; Mammalia; Primates; Cercopithecidae
Description: lncRNA (ENSMFAG00000063675.1)
Source: RNAcentral
AGGCGUGGGCUGCUGCUGCCAGACCCGGGCCCGGUGCAGCCGCCGGCCGUGUAGGCGCUAGGACCCCCAGCCCCGGCGGCGCUGCCCUCACCCGCCUCGUUCCCGCUCCCGUCCUACCCCGUUCCGCGCUGGGUAGAGUCCAAGUCUGAUUGCGAGGGUGCGGAACGCCGCCUCGGGGGCUUGACUUCAAUCUCCGGGGAUCCCGAACGCCGCUCCGGGGUCCCCACGUCUGCCUUGGGGGCUCGGAGUCCAGCCCUGGGGUCCCGGACACCGCCCGGGGUCCCGGACACCGCCCGGGGGUCUCUACGUCUGCUCUGGAGCCUGGAGUGCCGCCGUGGGGGUCCCGGACGCCGCCCAGGAGUCCCCACGUCUGCCCUGGGGGCAUGAGUCCAGCCCUGGGGGUCCCGGACGCCACCCAGGGAGCCCCAUGUCUGCUUUGGGGGCUCGAGUGCAGCCCUGGGGGUCCCGGACGCCGCCCGGGGGUCCUCACGUCUGCCUUGGAGACUGGCGUUCCCCCGUGGGAGUCCCAGACACCGCCCAGGUGGGUCCCCACGUCUGCCUUGGGGGCUGGAGACCUGCUCUGGGGGUCCGGGACGCCGCCCAGGAGUCCCCACCUCUGCUCUGGGGGCUGGAGACCUGCUCUGGGGGUCCCGGACGCCGCCCAGGAGUCCCCACCUCUGCUCUGGGGGCUGGAGAACUGCUCUGGGGGUCCCGGACGCCGCCCAGGAGUCCCCACCUCUGUUCUGGGGGCUGGAGACCUGCUCUGGGGGUCCCGGACGCCGCCCAGGAGUCCCCACCUCUGCUCUGGGGCUGGAGACCUGCUCUGGGGGUCCCGGACGCCGCCCAGGAGUCCCCACCUCUGCUCUGGGGCUGGAGACCUGCUCUGGGGGGGUCCCGGGCGCCGCCCAGGUGGGUCCCCCUCGUCUGCCUUGGGGCUUGAGUCCAGCCCUGGGGUCCCCACAUCUAGCCUUGGGGGCUUGGGUCCAGCCCCAGGCGUCCUGGACACCGCCCAGGAGUCCCCACGUCUGGCCGGGGGGCUGGAAUCCUGUCCUGGGGGUCCCGGACGCCUCCCAGGGGUCCCCAUGUCUGCCUUGGGCCUCGAGUCCAGCCGUGAGGGUUCCGAAUGCUGCCUUGGAGGGUGGAGUCCAGCUCUGAGGGUCCUGAAGUCUGCUUUGGGGCCUCGAGUCCAUCCCAGGGGUCUCGGAGUCUACACUGGGGGCCUGGAUGGGAUCCAGCGGGUCUGGGUCCAGCCUGGGGAGCCCCUGCGGUGGAGCUGUGAGUGCGGCAGGGGCCUGGGAGAUGCCAGGAGGAUGCGAGCGGCGCCCCCAAGAGUCAGCCGGUCCCAGAGAAGCUCCCCCACAAACUGUGACCUGUGGUGUGCAAAGCGUCCCGGAACCCCAGCCCUCACCAGCAGUGCUUGCAUUUUUCAGGAGAUCAGUUGCAUUUGGCAUGUUCCUUAAGCGUCUGCAGGAAGCUGUGGCCUUGGGAUUUCAGGAGGGUUUGCUAAACUCCCCUCAUUGUAGGAUGGGGGUAUCCCAGCUGCUAAUUCCCUUCCUAACAGCCCUGCAGGACCUGGAUUAACGGUGCUAGAGGUGACAUUUUCAACCCGAAGUCCCUAGGAAGGACAGGUGGCUGUAGCCUGCGCAUUUGUGUAAAUUAACCUCCCCUUUUAGUUCUGUGAAAGGAGAACUCGAUUCAUUUAAAGUCACCUGCGUGAAAGGGGCCCUUGAUUAGCUUAAAAAUCACCUGAAUUAGCUUAAAAUCGUGUGAUCUCAAUUGGCCUCUGAAUCUUUACCACCUGCCCGCGUCCUGCAAGCUCCAGGCUACGUUUUAAGGGGGAAUAACGGGGCUCGCCUUUCUGCGUUACUUUAUGUGACCGUAGUUGUAAAACAGAAUGAGGGAGACAGUGGGGAUUGGGCAGAAGUGUCACCCCCAUUUAUGCGUUGGGAAGGAGGCUGAGGUGGGAGGAUUGCUUGAGCCCAGAAGUUUGAUACCAGCAUGGGCAACAUGGUAAGGCCCCUUAUCUACAAAAAAAAAAAAGAAAAAAAAAAAGAAAAA